AACGAACGCUGGCGGCAUGCCUAACACAUGCAAGUCGAACGAGACCUUCGGGUCUAGUGGCGCACGGGUGCGUAACGCGUGGGAACCUGCCCUUAGGUUCGGAAUAACUCUCCGAAAGGGGUGCUAAUACCGGAUAAUGUCUUCGGACCAAAGAUUUAUCGCCUUUGGAUGGGCCCGCGUUGGAUUAGCUAGUUGGUAGGGUAAAAGCCUACCAAGGCGACGAUCCAUAGCUGGUCUGAGAGGAUGAUCAGCCACACUGGGACUGAGACACGGCCCAGACUCCUACGGGAGGGAGCAGUGGGGAAUAUUGGACAAUGGGCGAAAGCCUGAUCCAGCAAUGCCGCGUGAGUGAUGAAGGCCUUAGGGUUGUAAAGCUCUUUUACCCGGGAUGAUAAUGACAGUACCGGGAGAAUAAGCUCCGGCUAACUCCGUG
This 433-nucleotide ribosomal RNA is filed under the name uncultured bacterium. Its description in RNAcentral is "partial 16S ribosomal RNA". It matches the Rfam family "Bacterial small subunit ribosomal RNA", at positions 29 to 507 of the family's 1533-position model. The record is from RNAcentral.